GAUGAAAACGUAGCGAAAUGCGAUAAGUAGUGUGAAUUGCAGAAUUCAGUGAAUCAUCGAAUCUUUGAACGCACAUUGCGCCCCUUGGUAUCCCGAGGGGCAUGCCUGUUCGAGCGUCAUUUCACCACUCAAGCCUGGCUUGGUGUUGGGCGACGUCCUCUUUGGGGACGCGCCUCGAAACGCUCGGCGGCGUGGCACCGGCUUUAAGCGUAGCAGAAUCUUUCGCUUUGGAAGUCGGGGCCCCGUCUGCCGGAAGACCUGCUCGCAAGGUUGACCUCGGAUCAGGCAGGGAUACCCGCUGAACUUAAGCAUAUCAAUAAGCGGAGGA
This 328-nucleotide unclassified non-coding RNA is filed under the name soil metagenome. Its description in RNAcentral is "partial contains 5.8S ribosomal RNA, internal transcribed spacer 2, and large subunit ribosomal RNA". The stretch from base 1 to 119 matches the Rfam family "5.8S ribosomal RNA", at positions 35 to 154 of the family's 154-position model. The record is from RNAcentral.